CAUGGAGUUUGAUCCUGGCUCAGAUUGUACGCUGGCGGAAUGCUUUACACAUGCAAGUCGAACGGUAGAGGGGGCAACCCCUUGAGAGUGGCGAACGGGUGAGUAAUAUAUCGGAACGUGCCCAGUCGUGGGGGAUAACGUAGCGAAAGUUACGCUAAUACCGCAUACGAUCUAAGGAUGAAAGCGGGGGACUCGUAAGAGCCUCGCGCGAUUGGAGCGGCCGAUAUCAGAUUAGGUAGUUGGUGGGGUAAAGGCCCACCAAGGCGACGAUCUGUAGCUGGUCUGAGAGGACGACCAGCCACACUGGAACUGAGACACGGUCCAGACUCCUACGGGAGCAGCAGUGGGGAAUUUGGACAAUGGGCGCAAGCCUGAUCCAGCAAUGCCCGCGUGCAGGAUGAAGGCCUUCGGUUGUAAA
Molecule: ribosomal RNA, 418 nt
Filed under: uncultured Limnohabitans sp.
Lineage: Bacteria; Pseudomonadati; Pseudomonadota; Betaproteobacteria; Burkholderiales; Comamonadaceae
Description: bacterial SSU rRNA
Rfam family: Bacterial small subunit ribosomal RNA
Source: RNAcentral